GCACUGCUGAAGAGUCCCAGACUAGGAAGAAACGGCCGUCCGGUGU
This is a non-coding RNA of Schistosoma mansoni, 46 nucleotides long. NCBI's taxonomy places the organism in Eukaryota, Metazoa, Platyhelminthes, Trematoda, Strigeidida, Schistosomatidae. The record is from Rfam.